GUACACGCUGUGACUAGCAUAUCAAUAAGCGGAGGAAAAGAAACUAACAAGGAUUCCCCUAGUAACGGCGAGUGAAGCGGGAAGAGCUCAAAUUUGAAAUCUUAAAGGGUUUCCCUUUACGAAUUGUAGUUUAAAGAAGUGUUUUCUGUUGAGGUUUUGGUAAAAGUUCUUUGGAAUAGGACAUCAUAGAGGGUGAGAAUCCCGUAUUUGACCUUUACUUUCAACUUUGUGAUACACUUUCAAAGAGUCGGAUUGUUUGGGAAUGCAGUCCAAAAUGGGUGGUAAAUUUCAUCUAAAGCUAAAUAUUGGCGAGAGACCGAUAGCGAACAAGUACCGUGAGGGAAAGAUGAAAAGAACUUUGAAAAGAGAGUUAAACAGUACGUGAAAUUGUCAAAAGGGUAGGCGUUUGACACCAGUGUUGUUUUUCUGAAAAUCAAUUAAAGAACUGUUUAUGCUAAGUCGUUUAGACUUUAUCAGCUAACUGUUUAGUUUUGAGCUUUUCUUUAAUGCACUUUUCAGUUAACAAGUCAACAUCAAUUUCUUUUGCUGUAAAAAAGCUUGAGGAAGGUGGCUUGAGAUUCGUCUUAAGUGUUUAUAGCCUCUUGCCUAUGCAGUCGGAGAGAUUGAGGUCUGCAGCGUAGAUCCUUCGGGGCUAAAUGCAUUUGUGCUAAGUUAUAGCAUUUUAUAGACAAUUUGUUGACUAUGAUUUGUCUUGUAGCUUACUCGCUUAUGUUAUUUUACCUACGCUUAGGAUGUUGAAGUCAUCGUAUCGCGC
This 775-nucleotide ribosomal RNA is filed under the name uncultured Neocallimastigales. RNAcentral's name for it is "partial large subunit ribosomal RNA". It matches the Rfam family "Eukaryotic large subunit ribosomal RNA", at positions 22 to 645 of the family's 3401-position model. The record is from RNAcentral. Lineage: Eukaryota; Fungi; Neocallimastigomycota; Neocallimastigomycetes; Neocallimastigales.